UACGGAGGGAGCUAGCGUUGUUCGGAAUUACUGGGCGUAAAGCGUACGUAGGCGGCUUUGUAAGUCAGAGGUGAAAGCCCACGACUCAAUCGUGGAACUGCCUUUGAGACUGCUUCGCUUGAAGAUGGGAGAGGUUAGUGGAAUUCCGAGUGUAGAGGUGAAAUUCGUAGAUAUUCGGAAGAACACCAGUGGCGAAGGCGGCUAACUGGACCAUUCUUGACGCUGAGGUACGAAAGCGUGGGGAG
This 245-nucleotide ribosomal RNA is filed under the name uncultured bacterium. RNAcentral's name for it is "partial 16S ribosomal RNA". It matches the Rfam family "Bacterial small subunit ribosomal RNA", at positions 524 to 768 of the family's 1533-position model. The record is from RNAcentral.